UCCUUUGUAAUUGGCAGUGGGGCCGUGUCAAUAUCAGGCAGGAGCGGUGUCCAGUGACAGGAAGCUCCACCCAUGUCAGCAGGCUGGACCGGCAUAUGGACUCCCAUACAGAGCUCAACAGAGCACAGAGGAGACGGGCUUUAGAGGAGGUGAAGAGACGUCUGACAAUGGAGAGGCUGGCGGCAUUGAGGGCGUCGGUCCCUGCCAUCCCAGUGGCCACCGAUUUUGAUAUCGUGGAGACUGCGAGGCAAGAAGAAGAGGAGGAUAACUUUUUAGAUACUUUUGCAGAGGAAGAGGAGGAAGAGGGUUGCACUAAUGAUUAUUGCCACUGCCAAGCACCACUUUUGAGGCUGCAGAAAGCUUUGAAAGAGAGGGAUGAGGCCCUGACCAAGAAAAGUGAGACCAUCCAAUCCAUUAGAGAGGACAACCUGAAGCUGAUCUCUGAGCUGCAUAGAGUGAGGAAGAGGUACCAGCUACUGAAAAGGCAGAUGGGGAUUCUCAGGGUGAGUCCGGCAAAGGAGAGGUCGGCAAAGAGGUCCCUCAGCUUUCAGGCCGAGGCAGACACAGCCCAAGAGGAGCUGCAGCUGGACCAAGUGACAGGUUCAGGGGACCAGACAGAGGAGGCUACAGCGUCCGGAUCUGGCAGCAAACUUAUCUUCCCGGGCUCUGCCAUCAGUGUGUUUCUUGAGGGAUUCAGGAAGACCUGUGAGGGCCCCAAUCCAAAUUAUAAGCUAAGGGAAAAUUGUGCCGGAAAGAUCAAAAGGGUGACGCAAUUUUUGAACUACAUGGCGAAGGAUGAGACCUACCCAUCCAAUCUCAUUUUCCUGAUUAACCAUGACAAAAUAAGGGGGUGAAAGACAGCAAGGAAGCCAAGGUGGUUUCCAGAAAGACCCUGCUGGAGUGCCAGUCUCUUGCCAAGGCCAAGAUCCCAGAAGUGCUGAAAACCUUGGAAGAAACAAGGACACAGAAAAAUCAGUACCAGUUUUAUGGAGACCUGUGGGCCUACUUUACCUCCAUAGACGGCCAUAGACCGGGCCUGGAUAAGAACAUGUUGGUGGAGGAGGUGGAGGAGGCUAAAUGUGACCAGUCUGGGAUGUAUCUGAUCAGUGUAGAGGAACACAAAACGAAUAGAGACCAUGGCAUGGUCCAGAUGUCGCUGACAAAGGAUGAGUACACUUGGUUUUCAGACUUCCUCAAAUUCAAGCACUGCCUCCCAGGGGGAAAGAAGUCCCAGCACUUUUUUUUCAAUUCUACAAGCACUCAGCUCAAGAACCUGCCUGCCUACCUGAGGGAGGUGUGGAAGGAGAUGGGUCUGCCUGAAACUCCUACCUUCACUGA
Coregonus clupeaformis (lake whitefish) is the source of this 1338-nucleotide RNA transcript. RefSeq lists it as uncharacterized. The transcript has 5 exons. The record is from RefSeq and is a predicted model, not a curated record. NCBI's taxonomy places the organism in Eukaryota, Metazoa, Chordata, Actinopteri, Salmoniformes, Salmonidae.